Molecule: long non-coding RNA, 2114 nt
Filed under: Apis mellifera (honey bee)
Lineage: Eukaryota; Metazoa; Arthropoda; Insecta; Hymenoptera; Apidae
Description: uncharacterized LOC100577476
Source: RNAcentral
UUAUAAUUGAACGUAUAAAAUAUUGAAAAGUUCGCAGAGAACAAGUGGUCUUGAUAUUUUUAAGCGGCUUCAUACGUACCCUCUUUGCCUUUAAAUAGUCGAUUAAAAUGAUGUGCUUCCUCGAAACGAAUAUGGCUUGCAAAAAAAAGGGCAACGAGAGAAGAAGGAUAACACAUGCGAGGUAAAUGCUUAGGGGAUACGCGGGACGUAAUCGAUACGCAAUUACAUUAUCGUGUAAGCGGCAUGAAGCGGUUGCUCUCAAGAUAUAAGGCGAUUAAACUCUGAAUUAAUGGAGGACACGCGUAACGAAGCUUCGCCUUGAAAUUAGAUCGUUCGAAGAAGCACGAAAUCCGCUCAGAGCACCAGGCAUCAAGAAGGACGACACGCUAGUAAAGGAUGAACACGAUCGAGGAGUGGGGAGGAUCGUCGAAUGGGAGUCUGGCCACGAAUUGCUCGGCCAAGAAUUCGCGAAACAUUUUUGGAACAUCAUUUUGUAUCCGAUUAUGGAACGACGACAGAACGAGAACGGUCGAGACUGGCCGACCAACUAGCUGGCAGCUGGCAGGACCUCUAUAGAAAAGCAAUAACUCGUGCCCGUAGGAAAUGAACGAUAGGCAAUCGACUAUUGGAUAUCGAACCGAGAAUUCGAUACGUAACUACGCUGCUUGUCUCCUAGUAGGUCGCUAGCUAUGGGUCGGCCACUUGUCCGCUUCUGCUCCUGCCUCUGCCGGUAGUAACUUGCUAGAUGUAGGUUGAUUGCCUGCCCGAUAGGGGCGCACUCUUCUUUUUUUCUUCUUUUCCAUGUUUCAUGGCCGAAGCAAACUUGAUUUUCGCACAGGCACAUGUAUCAAUGGCCAAAAAUUUUCGUCUACGUGUUCUAAUUCACCGAGUGUAACCAAAAAUUAAAAUUUUGUGAUAAAAUUUCUAUCUAUAGCUCCAAGUUUUAAUCAAUAUCAAAAUUAGCGGAAAAUUCGAUGAAGAUGUAAAGUGAUAAAGUGAUUCUAAAAUUUUGAUUGCUAGUAUACACAGUAUGCCUUCGAAAUCAUGGUUGGAUGAUGUUAUGUGCAAAAAUAAAUCGAGAAAUAAGAAUAAUACUUUUUUAAGAUUUCGUUUUGAGGCAUAAACCGAGAGUUAUAGCGAGAUCGUAAAAUUAGUCCAGCGAAAAAGCCGAAUAUGUUCGUAUUGAAGAAUUCCAGGGACAUAAAAAAAUUUCAUCACGACGUCAAUCGUAUCAUCGGAUUGACACGAUAAUUUACGAUCAAUCCAUACCUCCCAAUGCAGAAAGAUAUAAACUCGAAAGAAUACUACUCACAUCUAUGUUAUUGCCUUCAUUUCUCCUCUUUUCUCCAGAUUCUCUUAUCCACGAUUCUUUCGUCAGAUUUAUUCGAUAUAUUUUCCCGAAACAUAUUUUCCAAAUUUCCGACUCGUUCGUAAGAAGUAUCAAUUUCCGAAUGAGUUUUGUCAGAUUUUUUCUUUUUUUUUUUUAGCUUAUGGACAUUAUUAACGAGAAAUUUCCGCUUUGACAAGCGUGGCCGGGCAACAUAGCCUAGAGGAGAUUUGCUCUUUGAAGAAAGAUGCCAGAAAACUGAAUACACUCGUUUUAGACACACAGGCAACAGUGAGGAAUAGAAGUAAAAUGAGCAAGUUGAAUUGAAGCAUACGGCCAGAUUCCAGCUGGGGGCGGUGGCUCGUAAACAGUCGGUUGAAAGACGGACCCAUCUCUUAAACCUUUACCUGAGACGACGUCUGGAAUUGAUGUGUGUCAUCUUUGAUAGCGUCGGCGUGGCUACAUCGAUGAAACGUAAUUAAAGAGCCAACAAAGGGAAGAAAAUACAGUGUACACAGAAUAAUGGUGUAGAAAAUUAUAUUUGCAGCGACCAGUUAGAAAUUUUCAACGUUACGUUACGUCAAUGGUUGUGAAUAUAUUAUAACUUGCACAACACAAAGGAUCCAGUGGAUACUUGUUUACUUGUGUAAAGGGUCUUGUCAUCUUUUCAUAUUUUUGCAACAAUAAUAUUGAUGCUUGAACCUGGUUUCAGAAAUUUUAAUUUUCACGUUAUUGUUGUAUUAAUUUAUAUAUUUAUUACACGUGAAAGCAAUCGAUAGAUUAUUAA